RNAcentral lists this transfer RNA (69 nucleotides) under Platyplectrum melanopyga (Wokan cannibal frog). Its description in RNAcentral is "tRNA-Trp". It matches the Rfam family "tRNA". From Rfam's summary of the family: Transfer RNA (tRNA) molecules are approximately 80 nucleotides in length. The record is from RNAcentral. Lineage: Eukaryota; Metazoa; Chordata; Amphibia; Anura; Limnodynastidae.
AGAAACUUAGGAUAAUUAGACCAAGAGCCUUCAAAGCCCUCAGUAGGAGUUAAAAUCUUCUAGUUUCUG